This 254-nucleotide ribosomal RNA is filed under the name uncultured bacterium. Its description in RNAcentral is "partial 16S ribosomal RNA". It matches the Rfam family "Bacterial small subunit ribosomal RNA", at positions 524 to 776 of the family's 1533-position model. The record is from RNAcentral.
UACGGAGGAUCCAAGCGUUAUCCGGAUUUAUUGGGUUUAAAGGGUGCGUAGGUGGCUUUUUAAGUCAGGGGUGAAAGACGGUAGCUUAACUAUCGCAGUGCCUUUGAUACUGAAGAGCUUGAAUAAACUAGAGGUAGGCGGAAUGUGACAAGUAGCGGUGAAAUGCAUAGAUAUGUCACAGAACACCAAUUGCGAAGGCAGCUUACUAUGGUUUUAUUGACACUGAGGCACGAAAAGCGUGGGGAUCAAACAGG